AACUUUAACUAAGGUUCAACUAAAGACACAGACUAACUUUAACUAAGGUUCAACUAAAGACACAGACUAACUUUAACUAAGGUUCAACUAAAGACACAGCCUAACUUUAACUAAGGUUCAACUAAAGACACAGACUAACUUUAACUAAGGUUCAUCUAGUUAUGUUUCAUGGCUGUAUGUCUGUGAAGAGUGAAGAGUGGUAAAUAGACCAGGGCUACACACGUCCCUAUAAGCACAGGUAAAUAGACCAGGGCUACACACGCCCCUAUAAACACAGGUAAAUAGACCAUCUACACACGUCCCUAUAAGCACAGGUAAAUAGACCAUCUACACACGUCCCUAUAAGCACAGGUAAAUAGACCAGCUAUACACGUCCCUAUAAACACAGGU
Molecule: long non-coding RNA, 390 nt
Organism: Clupea harengus (Atlantic herring)
Lineage: Eukaryota; Metazoa; Chordata; Actinopteri; Clupeiformes; Clupeidae
Source: Ensembl